UCAACAGCUCCUAAGAUAUUUUCUUCUCUCUCUACACACAAGCAACUCUCCUUCUGGUUUCGUCGGAAUUCGGACUCUUCAUUGCUUGUUGAACCAGAUUUCAUCUCCUCUCCUUAGUCCGAAUUAAGCUUCUUGCUGAUCACACUUUGUUUCCUGUAAUCGAGGACUUCAGAUCCGCAGAGGUCUUUUUCAUGGCUACCUUUUCACGCACAGUAGAGCUUGAGGCUGGGAUGAUUCGGCGUAGCGGUUUUUGUUCGAUCAAAUGUGAGGUGGAUGUAUUGCAUUGGAUUGGAUUGGAUUGGAUUGGAUUGAAAUUGGUGCAACAGAUAAGAGGAUGAAGAUGAGGACGAUGACGAGGAAGAGGAGGAUAAGGGCACGAAAAAGAAAUGCGAAGUUUGUUUGACAGAACAUUUCGUACCAAAGCUUUUGGUCCUUCGGUUGGAUACAUUUACUGUAAGUAUGACAUUUCACUCCUAGAAGAUUGGCUUUCACUGCGGUGCAAGUUGUCUGCAUUCUGCAUUAUGACAUGGUGAUCCACAACUGUGAAACAGGUUUGCUAAUGCAGUUGUAAUCUGUUGCACGAUUUGAAGAGAUGUUAAUAACAUAAUCAAAAUAGUGAGCUUUGCUUAUUUUUUCUUUUUGGGGGUGGGUCCAUUGGAAUCAAUAUGGUAUGCUAUAUUACACUUUAGAGGGGUUAUAUAUUGCUUUUGCUGGUACUUCAUUGUUCUUAGGACCAGGCCCAGGCUGAGUCUGAUUCUGUGGCUGGCUUAGCUGCAGAUGAAUGGGUGCAUGCAAAUCAUAUUCAUUACUGAUGCUAUAUGGAGGCUGGGAACUUUUGUUUCCUCGAUUCACUUCCCUUGCUUCAUAAACCUGAGGUUAAAAUAUUCUGUGUUAGUGUUUGCUGGAGAAAACAUCUUUGCGUUCCCUACCCAUUGCCUCUCUCUAUCCUUUAGAUGAAUUAUACUAUGUGUUAAAUACAAAAGUAGAGCUUAAUGUGUAGAUAAUACCUUCUUUUGCAGUUCCUCAUUCUCAUUACUUAUGAGGUUUAGCUUCUUAUACAGUUCUAUAUUUUCUUGAUGUAUGAAAGUUUCCUGAAAAUAAAGUAGAAAAACAACGGUAAUUAGCAUCAAUUUACCCCCAAUAAAAUGAAUUAAUAUUAAUCAACUGGGGGGAAUUGAGCCAGCUCUUGGGCAACCUUCUGGUUCAGUUCUUUUAUUUCAUCAUUAAAUAUCUGGUUCUGCAGAAUAGAAAAGAAAAAAAAAAUGAGUGCCAUGCAUGUGCUAUAUAAAGAAGGGAGCAUGGAAUUAUUAAGUGAGACUAUAAUCAGGGCUCAGGCUUUUGAUACCUUUUUUGUCCGGACACCUUUCAAACUCAUCUCCAGCUGGCUUUCCAAAUUCUGUAGAUCUUUGGCACUAAAACCAGAAAGUUCUUCCCCCAUUAACUGCCUGCAUAAUUUACAGAAGGUGUGUGGGUACACUUUAAACAUUCUCACAAACUAAUUCAUAUACACUGAAUGUUACUUUGUGAAAUGUUUUUAACAAAGUUGCAUUUCAGUUGAUUUAAAAACUUCGUCUCUUUUAAAAACCGCUUUAAGGAGGAAGCAUAGGGAACACCCAGAUCAUUCAGGUUUAUGUCAAUGUGUUGUUGGGCUCCAUUGUGGUCCUCAGUUUUUAAGAGUUCAGAGACAUUUCCUGUUUCCUUUUGUGAAGAUCUCUUGAGAUUGCAUUUAUAUUUUCUAUGUUGGGGCUGAGCAGCUAGAUACUGAUUAUUUAUUAAUUUAUUUAUUUUUUCUGGUAGCUUCAGUGGACUUCUUGUCCACUGCUACUGUAUUUCUUCAAUUGGUGCUAAUUAUUUGUUCUGUUUCUUAUCAAUAAUCAAGAAACCUCGUUUCAUUAGUCUUCCUCCACGUUGAAAAGGUUUUCUGGGCUGGUAGUUAGAUGAACCUUUAUUAGUAUGAUAUCCUUUUGAAUAAGCAACAUGAAAUAUGCAUUGUUAUGUUUUGGUACUUGAAUCAAAUUGCUAGGCUGUGUUGAAGAUUCAAUAUAAAGCAAUGAUUGUACCUGUGGCAUUCUUCCAAGUACCGCAAUUGUUGCCUCAAGCUUGCUGCCUCCCUUUGCCAAAACUAUUUGGUAUAAAUUCAAUAAAUGUUGUCAUGCAUGAAAUAAGAACUAACUAGAUGAGCAUUUAUAGGAGCACUAGAAAAUGUUAGCAAAUGUAAAAUCAUACAUCAGGAGUCUGAAGCAUGCAUAUUUUAUUAUUAUUUUUAAUUGUAUUUUAUUUGUUUUGAAAAUACAUAUCUUGGGCCUCUCCACUUAUCACCAAUUGGUUUUGGUUGCAUGUACUCACAAUUUAAAGAUUAUAGGAACAUUGGUGAACUACAAAUUUCAUCAUAGUUUAGGGCACAAUUUGGUGGUUUCUUUGCUGUUCUGUCUGGCUCUUCCAAGAAUCCGUUUCAAGGAAGUCUUGCUACCAUAUGGUAGUAACUCGCUUUGUUCCAUUUCUAUUCUUAUCAUUAUCAUAGCCAAUCUGAAUAAAGCAAAGGCCAAUGCCCGUUGACUGGUGUUUACAUGAAUACAUCUAUACCACACAUGGUCGACUAGCCCGAUGGACCAUGCCAACUGAGAACAUCAUGGAUGGUCCACUCAGAUGGUGUAUGGUUUGAGGUUUGUGACAAACGUGCAUCUUAUGUUGGUGAAUAUUAUUAUUCCUUGUUUGAUCCCAAACGUGCAUCUUAUGUCUGCUCUAAAGGUUGCAUUUUCACUUAUUUACUAAGCUACUCGAUGACGACUAAUGGUACAAACUUGUUGAGAGCAGGUGUCUACACCAUUCUACUGAUGGAACAAACAACAACAUUACCGAUGACUUACCUUUAUUGAAAUUGAAGGAUACCUGCCAUGCAUAGUAUCCUCCGCACUAAAGAGCAAAUGACGAUAACAUUCACCCGUUGUAAGCUGUUCAGAAGUGCUGCAAUCUUGUUUGGUAAACUCUAAUAGCUCCCAUGUUUUACUGAAACCCUAGGAUACAACCAUGUCACCAUUUUCUCUUCAUCGUUAUUGCUGGAUUUCAAAAGAUAUGGAAGUUGCUUGCCCACACCAUUUCUAUCACCAUUUGUGUCCAUCAACACAAAGAUUUUCAUUCUGCACUUGUUUCUUCAAUUUUUCUUCCCAUCAAUCGAGGAAUUCUUGUGGGAGGCCUUGAUUUACAUUUCCAGAAACUAUACGUUACCAAUAACUAUGGAAAUGGAAAUAUUCCCUUCCACCGUACUGCAAUCGUACGCUGAAGUUUUUUCAUUACGUGGGGCAGGUCGAAUUUCUCAUUGGAUCAAUAUAUUAACUUCUUUGUUGUUUCUUCAGAAUUCUGAUGCCCGAAGCCUUUGAUUAUUGAAAUUUUAGCCUGGGCAGGAUUACCAGGUUGUCUAUCUUUUCGUAAAUAUAAAGCCCUCUAAUUGAAUAUGAGUUGGAAUAGUUUGAAACUGCUGGUUCAAGACAAACGAACUAUUAUUCAAUGGAAUUUUUCUUAAGGUUGGAUCCUUAAACUGUUGGUACCAUCAAAGCUUCAGCACCAAAAUACUUUCUUUUGGACUAUUGUUAUUUUCUUCUGCAAAUGCAAAUGAAUAUGCAUUAGCUUAAGGCAUUGCCUCAUUGAAGUGGACUAUUGUACAUAAGAUAAGUUUAGCUUGCCCUGGCAUUGCAUCUUUGUUUUCCUUUUAUCUACAACCCCGAAAAGACAGGCUUCAUUGUUAACUCCACAUGUUCACGUUUGUAUUCUUCCCACCACAAUUUCAGGUUGGUUUGGCGUUCCAAGGAUGUUAAAUGGUUCCUUUGAGUACCGUGGCUAUUUUAGAUAGCUACAUUCUUUUGAAGAGUGGUUGAGAUACGGGUAGUUCUCUUCUCUUCUCAUAAGAAACAAUAUAAUCUAGGCUUUACUCAGGUAUUUUCUUAAGUAGCAUCCCUGAAAGGAAAGUGCUAUCCUUGCCUAAGUAAUAUAGAAGAAAGCCCCUUGAAGAGAAUUCGAAUUGUAAUAUCAACUUGUAGACUUGUGUUUCUAUUUGCUAGAACUUCAGUUUAUCUUUUAACAAGUUAUCUAAACUUAACUAAUGUCAGCUGUAUCAUAUAUGAGAAAGAAGCUUUCCCAGAGCAGUCUAUUGAUCAUGCAAAUCAUUAGUGAAACUCAUAUCCCUUUCCCUCAUUGUGUCGUAGUAUUAGUAUUUUAAAUUAAACCUUCAACCAGGAAGAAUGACUAGUUUGCAUGGUAUACCUUAUAACUUCAUUAAACACCGCAUUUCACCUGAGUCUGUUGAAGGACAAGGUCAAUAACACAAAUCCCUUCUCUUAAGUGUUUCUUUUCCUAUCUGGACUCCACAGUUGAUUUUUGUCAGCGUCGCAAGAAUAUGUACCUGAAUUUCCUGAAUGAUCUUGUAUUUCCAGGCAUCGGAUUGUUUUUCCUUUUGCGAUCCACUACUCUUCCGACCUAAGUGUUCUCACGUUUUGAUAAUUUAUUUCAGGCUUUCAUUCUUAUGUGUUUUAGGCCUUUGGAAAAUGGUGCAAUUGUUUGAUUUCUCCAGCCACUUAGCAGGUAUUCAGCAGAAAGAAAAUUGGAGUGGUUACCUUGACUUCUGCAGCAGGAUUCAGCAGUUGAUGAUGCUCUGCUUUCAGUUUGUUGAAACGAUCGACAACUGAUUUCAUGCUGAUAAGAAAUUCAUAGCGUUAUGGUCGUUAGAUGCAAAAAUCAUGUACGUUCUGAAUAUUCUAUAGGUUUUGGUUUUAUGUCCUUCCCUUUUUCAAUGGAUAUACACACAUUUAUAUGUUUCUGGACCAAUGUGAUUGCUUUAGUGUUGAUGCAAGUAAAAUUCCUACAAUUUUGUGCAUAAAAAGACACAAGGCAAAUGUAAGAAAGAAAGUGCAAUUGAUUUGUACCAUAUGUGUUCAAGUGACUAAAGUAAAGUAAAAAUCCGUAUAAUCUUUUU
Molecule: long non-coding RNA, 4966 nt
Organism: Malus domestica (apple)
Lineage: Eukaryota; Viridiplantae; Streptophyta; Magnoliopsida; Rosales; Rosaceae
Source: RefSeq, a predicted model, not a curated record